CCUACGGGAGGCAGCAGUGAGGAAUAUUGGUCAAUGGUCGAGAGUCUGAACCAGCCAAGCCGCGUGAAGGAUGACGGCACUGUGGGUUGUAAACUUCUUUUAUAUGGGAAUAAAAUCUUGCACGUGUCCACUUUUGUGUGUACCUUAAGAAUAAGGAUCGGCUAACUCCGUGCCAGCAGCCGCGGUAAUACGGAGGAUCCGAGCGUUAUCCGGAUUUAUUGGGUUUAAAGGGAGCGUAGGCGGGUUGUUAAGUCAGUUGGGAAAGGUUGCGGCUCAACCGUCAAAUUGCAGUUGAAACUGGCAGUCUUGAGAACAGUAGAGGUAGGCGGAAUGCGUGGUGUAGCGGUGAAAUGCUUAGAUAGCACGAAGAACUCCGAUUGCGAAGGCAGCUUACCGGACUGCAACUGACACUGAGGCACGAAAGUGUGGGUAUCAAACAGGAGUAGAUACCCGAGUAGUC
Molecule: ribosomal RNA, 460 nt
Filed under: uncultured bacterium
Lineage: Bacteria
Description: partial 16S ribosomal RNA
Rfam family: Bacterial small subunit ribosomal RNA
Source: RNAcentral